This 253-nucleotide ribosomal RNA is filed under the name uncultured bacterium. Its description in RNAcentral is "partial 16S ribosomal RNA". It matches the Rfam family "Bacterial small subunit ribosomal RNA", at positions 524 to 776 of the family's 1533-position model. The record is from RNAcentral.
UACGAAGGGUGCUAGCGUUGUUCGGAAUUAUUGGGCGUAAAGCGUGCGUAGGCGGUUUAACAAGUCAGCUGUGAAAGCCCAGGGCUUAACCCUGGAAUUGCAGUUGAAACUGUUAGGCUAGAGUAUGGAGUGGGAUAGUGGAAUUCCUAGUGUAGGGGUGAAAUCCGUAGAUAUUAGGAGGAACACCGGUGGCGAAAGCGACUAUCUAGACCAUCACUGACGCUCAAGCACGAAAGCGUGGGGAGCAAACAGG